GAGAGUUGUUGACUUCCCUUCCCACAGCUCUUGCUAACAGCCAUUGGCAUUGGGAUGAAUCCUCUUUUUGAUCCACUUCUCCAUUAUCUGGGAUCCCAGCAUUAUGCUGGUUGAGGAGCAGACUGGAUUGUGGUCCUGUGUCAACACAUCAUUUGCACCUACCAUAUGGAAUAUAUUCUGAGAAUCAGUAAGAGAGCGGAGAGAAGUGACCAUGGAUAGACACCAUUUCCCAAAAUAUAUUAUGAUUGUACCUAGCCUUGUGGCUUUCCAUUGACCUUUCCUAUUUUAUGUUUCAGAAUUUUUGCCUCAUCUGAAUAAUAAAUUCAAAUAAUAUCCCUAAUUUUCAGUUAAUGAAAACCCCAAUUUUUUUUUUCAGUGCCCAGUUUUUAAGAUAUAUGUGUAUUGUAAGUUAUCAGAUCAAAAUUUAGAGCCUUAAUGGAGUGCAAGACCUUUGUCAGAUACAGGUAUUUUUAUCAGUGCGAUUUCUCCUGUGUCUGUUCGUCUUGCUAUUUAUUUUCUUUCAUUAUACACUUUUCUGAUGCGGUCAGGUUAGCCAUUUGAAUCAUUUCUCAGUGUUCUAUGGCAUAACCAUUUCUGACCAAUGUAUCUAUAAAUAAUUUUCUCCCUAAGUUUUUGGCAUAGAGAAUAUCCAGAGUAAUAGGGCUUCUCUGAAGUAUUUUUGAGACUUUUCAUUGCAGGUUUUCAACUUUUUCUAAAAUCAUAUGAAUUCAGAGGAGUUCAGCUGAACCAGGGAGUGCAUCGUCUCACAGUAGAACCUGCAGCAAAAUUUUGUUGCUACAAGCACCAAAUUCCUGAUAUUUUCUAUUUGCAUAGGAAGUGAAUAUGUUACAAUUUACAGAGAUGUUUUUUCAAGGAAGCAGCAGGUUUGGGGAUUUGUUACCCAAACCCAUCACUCUUUAGAAUGUAAACAGUUUGAUGAUUGAUUAACUUGUCAUUGUGCACAGUUAGGGUGGUAGCGUUAAAAACAAGCAGUAAACUAUCAGUUUGAGUACUAGCCCUUUUGGCUAUGUGAAGAGUGUGUUGGGCCUAAGAGACUGUGUUAGAAGUGGUGUUGGGGGGAGAGGAGGGCGGCAGGAUCAGUAGCUCGCCUCUACCAAAAAAACACCAUUAAAAUUUUUCCUUUGCUUCCUGCUCCUGCAAAUGUUGAGCUCCCUUCAACAACUUGCUUUUGUAAUAAAUACUAAAUGGCAAAGUGUUUUAUACUGAAUUCUUAAAAUAAAGAUAACACGUUGUUUGGGUGCAAGCCCCAGCUGGCUAGGGAGUGGAAUGGGGGUGAUAGAAAUGGAGAGGGCUUCAGAAUAGGUGAAAGGGAAAUAAGAAAAACAAAGGAAGCAAGGAAUUAAAAAUGGAAAAUAAGUUUUUGUAGUGGAAAUGUCUGCUAUGUUUACAAAAUAUUUUUUCAAAAUGCGAAACUUUGGAAAGAAUAAGCUGUCAGUAGUGAUACCACAUCAUGAAAAGUCAGGCCACAUACCCUUUACGAAUGUGCACACCUGGUUGUGCAUAUUGUGGAAGGUGUACUUAUUGUGACAAGUAAUAUUUCCACUUUUUAAUUGCUUGAAAAUCCAAGAUUACAGUGUCAUAUGUUUCUAUUAAUUUUUACACUGAUGUAACUGGGACUCCAUUACGCUGUUGAACUAUACAGAGUAAAAAUGACCUACUAUAUCAGGAGAGAUCUCUGCAUUUGCAUGUUAAUGGAGUUCUAUAAAAGCUAUAUCCUGGUUCAUUAGGAAAUAAAAAACUAUUAAUUAAAAUGUUGACGUUUGUAUCCGAGUACACACAGGAUGACAGAAAUGGCCUUUCGAAACAGACAAAGGCAUCAAGGGAUCUUCAGAAAAGAGUUUGUUGCUAAUUUAACCUAAACUGAUGUUUAGGUGGGUGCAAUUUAUUUUUGUAAUAAGAAGUACAUUUUAGUUCUGUACAUUGUUGCUGAUUGCAAAGGUGAAGAUAAUGAUCUCUUAAAACAAUUCCUGUUAUUAUAUUGUCACUUGUUAUACUACCCAGACAGUGGCCAGAGGUACUACCGCCAGGCACCUGUUCUGGAGAAGCCGUGUUCUUGCUGAGGGCAUUCUUCAGCUAGAAUUACACAAACAUAACUUUAGACAUCUCUGCAGCCAGAACUAUGCCGCCAGGUAGUGGAGAAGGUAAAAUAUGUCAUAUCUGUGUCAUCUGCACAGGAGUGUUCUCUCUGAGGGAACUUCCAUCAUCUUUCCAUUUCAAUCAUUUGAUAUAUGCAAUCCUUUUUAUUUCUGUUGUCUCCUGUAUAGAUGCUACCAGUUUAAAAUACCACUAAUAUAAACUACCAGUGUAACGUACCAACAGCAAUACUGCUGUUUAAUAAAGGUAAAUUCUGGGACUGGGCAA
Dromaius novaehollandiae (emu) is the source of this 2382-nucleotide long non-coding RNA. RefSeq lists it as uncharacterized. Lineage: Eukaryota; Metazoa; Chordata; Aves; Casuariiformes; Dromaiidae. The transcript has 2 exons. The record is from RefSeq and is a predicted model, not a curated record.